UACGGGGGGGGCAAGCGUUGUUCGGAAUUACUGGGCGUAAAGGGCGCGUAGGCGGCCCGAUCAGUCAGAUGUGAAAGCCCCGGGCUCAACCUGGGAACUGCAUUUGAUACUGUCGGGCUUGAGUUCCGGAGAGGAUGGUGGAAUUCCCAGUGUAGAGGUGAAAUUCGUAGAUAUUGGGAAGAACACCGGUGGCGAAGGCGGCCAUCUGGACGGACACUGACGCUGAGGCGCGAAAGCGUGGGGAGCAAACAGG
Molecule: ribosomal RNA, 253 nt
Filed under: uncultured bacterium
Lineage: Bacteria
Description: partial 16S ribosomal RNA
Rfam family: Bacterial small subunit ribosomal RNA
Source: RNAcentral